AUGAUGACCAAUGGGGUUGUGCACGCCAAUGUGUUCGGCAUCAAGGACUGGGUGACGCCGUACAAGAUCGCGGUGCUGGUGCUGCUGAACGAGAUGAGCCGCACAGGCGAGGGCGCCGUCAGCCUCAUGGAGCGGCGGAGGCUCAACCAGCUGCUCCUGCCCCUGCUGCAGGGCCCAGAUAUUACACUGUCAAAACUUUACAAGUUAAUUGAAGAGUCUUGUCCACAGCUGGCAAAUUCAGUGCAGAUCAGAAUCAAACUGAUGGCUGAAGGCGAGUUGAAGGAUAUGGAACAGUUUUUUGAUGACCUUUCAGAUUCUUUCUCUGGAACUGAACCAGAGGUUCACAAAACAAGUGUAGUAGGUAUGAAACUCUUCUAAGAAGAGCAGAGAGUAUUUUCAUUGAAGUGAGCAGCUUUCUAAGUCAUGUCUAUCAUUGUUCUGCUAUAUCUGUGAACAGACACAGUGGGGAUGUUGGAGGUGUUGCAGUUUGUAUUUAUUGCCUUACUGUUUUGAUCUAUAUUUAAAUCAUUAACUGUGGAAAAGCACCUUCUGUUUUGUCUACAAUAGUAAGAGUCAGAGCCUGGUCCUGGGGUUUUUAGGGGUUCCCAGCUCUUUCUCACAGUCCUCUGGAUCACUUGCCUGCAUGGUCCAUCUGUAAGUGAGGGUCACCAGCCCAGACUUAAGAAGAGAGGUAAGUAAAAAUACAUUAUUGAUAUAGUAUGCAAAGUGAGGGCAUACGUGGUGUUUCUUUGAUGCUUUUCUAUUAGCUUUAUCCCGUGCUCUAUCCCUCUGGCUUUUUUGCAUGGUAAUUUUUAUGUUAUUCAGCGUGAGCUAUUUCUCUCUCUCUUCCUAUGUGCCAGGCUCUGGACGUGUAAGAUAGACAUGGAAUUUCCUCUUAUGGAGAUUACCUCUGGUUGGGGGAGCCAGUUGGUAAAAGUAAACACAUAAAUAUCAUUUCAGAUAGUGUAACAGCCAUGAAGAAAGUAAAAUGGAAGCCUUCAGGUGGAGGUGGGGUGGGUAGAUUGUGCCCUGUAUAAGAAGAAACCAGCUUUGUAAAGGACUGGGGAAGAACAUUCCAGGAGGAGGGAAUGGCAACUGCAAGUGUCUCUUUCUUACUCUUCUGAAGGAAGAAUUGCAGCAGACAGUCAUUGCCAUUGUGGAGUUGCCAUUGUGUAGCCUGGAUGUCAGUUAAUGCUUUCCCCUUGUCUCUCGUCUUAUUUUGUAGGUUUGUUUCUGCGUCACAUGAUCUUGGCCUACAGUAAGCUUUCUUUCAGCCAAGUGUUUAAACUGUACACUGCCCUUCAGCAGUACUUCCAGAAUGGUGAGAAAAAGACAGUGGAGGAUGCUGAUAUGGAACUGACCAGUAGAGAUGAGGGUGAAAGAAAAAUGGAAAAAGAAGAACUUGAUGUAUCUGUAAGAGAAGAGGAGGUAUCUUGCAGUGGGCCUCUGUCCCAAAAACAAGCAGAAUUUUUUCUUUCUCAACAGGCUUCUUUGCUAAAGAAUGAUGAGACUAAGGCCCUCACUCCAGCUUCCUUGCAGAAGGAAUUAAACAAUUUGUUGAAAUUUAAUCCUGAUUUUGCUGAAGCGCAUUAUCUCAGCUACUUAAACAACCUCCGUGUCCAAGAUGUUUUCAGUUCAACACACAGUCUCCUCCAUUAUUUUGAUCGUCUGAUUCUUACCGGAGCCGAAAGCAAAAGUAAUGGGGAAGAGGGCUAUGGCCGGAGCUUGAGAUACGCCGCUCUGAAUCUUGCCGCCCUGCACUGCCGCUUCGGUCACUAUACCUCGCCUCCCUGGGAAUACAGUCCCUUGUUCAACAGAGAGCUUUUGCUGGGAAGACGGCAAACAAGCUGAUGGAUGCCCUAAAGGACUCCGACCUCCUGCACUGGAAACACAGCCUGUCAGAGCUCAUCGAUAUCAGCAUCGCACAGAAAACGGCCAUCUGGAGGCUGUAUGGCCGCAGCACCAUGGCACUGCAACAGGCCCAGAUGUUGCUGAGCAUGAACAGCCUGGAGGCGGUGAAUGCGGGCGUGCAGCAGAACAACACGGAGUCCUUUGCUGUUGCACUCUGCCACCUCGCAGAGCUACACGCGGAGCAGGGCUGUUUUGCUGCAGCUUCUGAAGUGUUAAAGCACUUGAAGGAACGAUUUCCGCCUAAUAGUCAGCACGCCCAGUUAUGGAUGCUAUGUGAUCAAAAAAUACAGUUUGACAGAGCAAUGAAUGAUGGCAAAUAUCAUUUGGCUGAUUCACUUGUUACAGGAAUCACAGCUCUCAAUAGCAUAGAGGGUGUUUAUAGGAAAGCGGUUGUAUUACAAGCUCAGAACCAAAUGUCAGAGGCACAUAAGCUUUUACAAAAAUUGUUGGUUCAUUGUCAGAAACUGAAGAACACAGAAAUGGUGAUCAGGUAAGGGGUCUCUUGUGCAUCUCACGGAGAUGUGGUGGUGGAUCUUCUCAUCCUGUGUUUUCCUCUUUACGGUCAGUGUCCUACUGUCCGUGGCAGAGCUGUACUGGCGAUCUUCCUCCCCUACCAUCGCGCUGCCCAUGCUCCUGCAGGCUCUGGCCCUCUCCAAGGAGUACCGGUUACAGUACUUGGCCUCUGAAACAGUGCUGAACUUGGCUUUUGCGCAGGAAUGUGGUUCCUGUUUUAACGUAGUACAUGUCAGGUAAAAGCUCAUUCUUGGAAUCCCAGAACAGGCCUUAAGUCUUCUCCACAUGGCCAUCGAGCCCAUCUUGGCUGACGGGGCUAUCCUGGACAAAGGUCGUGCCAUGUUCUUAGUGGCCAAGUGCCAGGUGGCUUCAGCAGCUUCCUAUGAUCAGCCGAAGAAAGCAGAAGCUCUGGAGGCUGCCAUCGAGAACCUCAAUGAAGCCAAGAACUAUUUUGCAAAGGUUGACUGCAAAGAGCGAAUCAGGGACGUCGUUUACUUCCAGGCCAGACUCUACCAUACCCUGGGGAAGACCCAGGAGAGGAACCGGUGUGCGAUGCUCUUCCGGCAGCUGCAUCAGGAACUGCCCUCUCAUGGGGUACCCUUGAUAAACCAUCUCUAGAGAGGACAUCCCUGCUGGGCUGCUGUGCAGAGUAUAAGAUUUUGGACUUGUUCAUGUCCCCUCUCUCCCUUUAAAUGAUGUAUUUGUGACACCCUAUCUUGUCAAUAAACAGCAUUCUGAUUA
RNAcentral lists this small RNA (3165 nucleotides) under Pan troglodytes (chimpanzee). RNAcentral describes it as "retained intron". Lineage: Eukaryota; Metazoa; Chordata; Mammalia; Primates; Hominidae. The record is from RNAcentral.